Molecule: ribosomal RNA, 329 nt
Filed under: uncultured bacterium
Lineage: Bacteria
Description: bacterial SSU rRNA
Rfam family: Bacterial small subunit ribosomal RNA
Source: RNAcentral
GUUGAACGCUGGCGGCAUGCCUAACACAUGCAAGUCGAACGGGUUGUAGCAAUACAACUAGUGGCGGACGGGUGAGGAAUACAUAGGAAUUUGCCUUUAGGUGGGGGAUAGCCCGGGGAAACUCGGAGUAAUACCGCAUGAUGUCGCAAGACCAAAGCCGGGGAUCGCAAGACCUGGCGCCUUUAGAGAAGCCUAUGUCUGAUUAGCUAGUUGGUAGGGUAAUGGCCUACCAAGGCGACGAUCAGUAACUGGUCUGAGAGGACGAUCAGUCACACCGGAACUGAGACACGGUCCGGACUCCUACGGGAGGCAGCAGUGGGGAAUAUUGG